UGCGUAGGUGGCGUGGCAAGUCAGAUGUGAAAGCCCGGGGCUCAACUCCGGAACUGCAUCCGAUACUGCCAUGCUAGAGCACUGAAGGGGUGACCGGAAUUCUCGGUGUAGCAGUGAAAUGCGUGGAUAUCGAGAGGAACACCAAAGGCGAAGGCAGGUCACUGGGCAGUUGCUGACACUGAGGCACGAAGGCCAGGGUAGCGAACG
RNAcentral lists this ribosomal RNA (207 nucleotides) under uncultured bacterium. RNAcentral describes it as "partial 16S ribosomal RNA". It matches the Rfam family "Bacterial small subunit ribosomal RNA", at positions 568 to 774 of the family's 1533-position model. The record is from RNAcentral.